GAUGAAGAACGCAGCGAAAUGCGAUAAGUAAUGUGAAUUGCAGAAUUCAGUGAAUCAUCGAAUCUUUGAACGCACAUUGCGCCCCCUGGUAUUCCGUGGGGCAUGCCUGUCCGAGCGUCAUUACAACCCUCAAGCUCAGCUUGGUGUUGGGCCCCGCCGCCCCGGCGGGCCCUAAAGUCAGUGGCGGUGCCGUCCGGCUCCGAGCGUAGUAAUUCUUCUCGCUCUGGAGGUCCGGUCGUGUGCUCGCCAGCAACCCCCAAUUUUUUUCAGGUUGACCUCGGAUCAGGUAGGGAUACCCGCUGAACUUAAGCAUAUCAAUAAGCGGAGGA
This 329-nucleotide unclassified non-coding RNA is filed under the name soil metagenome. RNAcentral's name for it is "partial contains 5.8S ribosomal RNA, internal transcribed spacer 2, and large subunit ribosomal RNA". The stretch from base 1 to 120 matches the Rfam family "5.8S ribosomal RNA", at positions 35 to 154 of the family's 154-position model. The record is from RNAcentral.